CCUACGGGAGGCAGCAGUGGGGAAUUUUGCGCAAUGCUCGUAAGAGUGACGCAGCGACGCCGCGUGAAUGACGAAGGCCUUCGGGUCGUAAAGUUCUUUCGACAGGGAAGAAAAUGCCUAUAAGUAACUGUGUAUGUAUUGACGGUACCUGUAUAAGCAGCCCCGGCUAACUCCGUGCCAGCAGCCGCGGUAAUACGGAGGGGGCGAGCGUUGUUCGGAGGGACUGGGCGUAAAGAGCACGUAGGCGGUGUUGUAAGUCAUUAGUCAAAGACUAGAGCUCAACUUUAGUAAGGCUAGUGAUACUAUAAUACUAGAGUAUCAGAGAGGAUUGCAGAAUGCCUGGUGUAGCGGUGAAAUGCGUAGAUAUCAGGAGGAAUACCGUUAGCGAAGGCGGCAAUCUGGCUGGAAACUGACGCUGAGGUGCGAAAGCGUGGGUAGCAAACAGGAUUAGAUACCCCUGUAGUC
RNAcentral lists this ribosomal RNA (465 nucleotides) under uncultured bacterium. RNAcentral's name for it is "partial 16S ribosomal RNA". It matches the Rfam family "Bacterial small subunit ribosomal RNA", at positions 338 to 795 of the family's 1533-position model. The record is from RNAcentral.